Molecule: ribosomal RNA, 490 nt
Filed under: uncultured bacterium
Lineage: Bacteria
Description: partial 16S ribosomal RNA
Rfam family: Bacterial small subunit ribosomal RNA
Source: RNAcentral
AUUGAACGCUGGCGGCAGGCCUAACACAUGCCAGUCGAACGGUAACAGGAAACAGCUUGCUGUUUCGCUGACGAGUGGCGGACGGGUGAGUAAUGUCUGGGAAACUGCCUGAUGGAGGGGGAUAACUACUGGAAACGGUAGCUAAUACCGCAUAACGUCGCAAGACCAAAGAGGGGGACCUUCGGGCCUCUUGCCAUCGGAUGUGCCCAGAUGGGAUUAGCUAGUAGGUGGGGUAACGGCUCACCUAGGCGACGAUCCCUAGCUGGUCUGAGAGGAUGACCAGCCACACUGGAACUGAGACACGGUCCAGACUCCUACGGGAGGCAACAGUGGGGAAUAUUGCACAAUGGGCGCAAGCCUGAUGCAGCCAUGCCGCGUGUAUGAAGAAGGCCUUCGGGUUGUAAAGUACUUUCAGCGGGGAGGAAGGGAGUAAAGUUAAUACCUUUGCUCAUUGACGUUACCCGCAGAAGAAGCACCGGCUAACUCCGUG